RNAcentral lists this ribosomal RNA (739 nucleotides) under uncultured bacterium. RNAcentral describes it as "bacterial SSU rRNA". It matches the Rfam family "Bacterial small subunit ribosomal RNA", at positions 8 to 796 of the family's 1533-position model. The record is from RNAcentral.
AGAGUUUGAUCCUGGCUCAGAACGAACGCUGGCGGCAGGCUUAACACAUGCAAGUCGAACGCCCCGCAAGGGGAGUGGCAGACGGGUGAGUAACGCGUGGGAAUCUACCCAGUUCUCUGGAAUAACUGAGGGAAACUUCAGCUAAUACCGGAUACGCCCUAUGGGGGAAAGAUUUAUCGGGAUUGGAUGAGCCCGCGUCUGAUUAGCUAGUUGGUGGGGUAAUGGCCUACCAAGGCGACGAUCGGUAGCUGGUCUGAGAGGAUGAUCAGCCACACUGGGACUGAGACACGGCCCAGACUCCUACGGGAGGCAGCAGUGGGGAAUAUUGGACAAUGGGCGCAAGCCUGAUCCAGCCAUGCCGCGUGAGUGAUGAAGGCCCUAGGGUUGUAAAGCUCUUUCACCCACGACGAUAAUGACGGUAGUGGGAGAAGAAGCCCCGGCUAACUUCGUGCCAGCAGCCGCGGUAAUACGAAGGGGGCUAGCGUUGCUCGGAAUCACUGGGCGUAAAGGGCGCGUAGGCGGCCGAUCAAGUCAGGGGUGAAAGCCUGUGGCUCAACCACAGAAUUGCCUUUGAUACUGUUUGGCUCGAGACCGGAAGAGGUUGGUGGAACUGCGAGUGUAGAGGUGAAAUUCGUAGAUAUUCGCAAGAACACCAGUGGCGAAGGCGGCCNCUGGUCCGGUUCUGACGCUGAGGCGCGAAAGCGUGGGGAGCAAACAGGAUUAGAUACCCUAGUAGUCC